CACGUAGGCGGCCCAGCAAGUCGGGUGUGAAAGCCCUCGGCUCAACCGAGGAAGUGCAUUCGAAACUACUGGGCUUGAAUACUGGAGAGGAUCGCGGAAUUCCCGGUGUAGAGGUGAAAUUCGUAGAUAUCGGGAGGAACACCAGUGGCGAAGGCGGCGAUCUGGACAGAUAUUGACGCUGAGGUGCGAAAGCGUGGGGAGCAAACA
This 207-nucleotide ribosomal RNA is filed under the name uncultured bacterium. Its description in RNAcentral is "partial 16S ribosomal RNA". It matches the Rfam family "Bacterial small subunit ribosomal RNA", at positions 568 to 774 of the family's 1533-position model. The record is from RNAcentral.